Molecule: ribosomal RNA, 457 nt
Filed under: uncultured bacterium
Lineage: Bacteria
Description: bacterial SSU rRNA
Rfam family: Bacterial small subunit ribosomal RNA
Source: RNAcentral
AGAGUUUGAUCAUGGCUCAGGAUAAACGCUGGCGGCGUGCCUAACACAUGCAAGUCGAACGAUCCCGCAAGGGAGAGUGGCGGAAGGGUGAGUAACACGUGGGAAUCUACCUCCUCGCAGGGAACAACCUCUCGAAAGAGAGGCUAAUACCCAAAAGGGUCAGAAAUGAUCAGAGUCGAAAGGCGUGAGGAGAGGAGCCCGCGGCCCAUCAGCUAGUUGGUGAGGUAAUGGCUUACCAAGGCUACGACGGGUAGGGGGUCUGAGAGGAUGUCCCCCACACUGGAACUGAAACACGGUCCAGACGCCUACGGGUGGCAGCAGUGAGGAAUAUUGGACAAUGGGCGAAAGCCCGAUCCAGCAACGCCGCGUGGAGGAUGAAGGCCUUCGGGUCGUAAACUUCUUUAGAGGGAGACGAGAAAGGACGGUAUCCCUAGAAUAAGCGACGGCAAACUACGUG